GACGAACGCUGGCGGCGUGCUUAACACAUGCAAGUCGAACGGAAAGGCCCUGCUUUUGUGGGGUGCUCGAGUGGCGAACGGGUGAGUAACACGUGAGUAACCUGCCCUUGACUUUGGGAUAACUUCAGGAAACUGGGGCUAAUACCGGAUAGGAGCUCCUGCUGCAUGGUGGGGGUUGGAAAGUUUCGGCGGUUGGGGAUGGACUCGCGGCUUAUCAGCUUGUUGGUGGGGUAGUGGCUUACCAAGGCUUUGACGGGUAGCCGGCCUGAGAGGGUGACCGGCCACAAUGGGACUGAGAUACGGCCCAGAAUCCUACGGGAGGCAGGAGGGGGAAAUAUUGCACCAUGGGCGGAAGGCUGAUGCAGCAACGGCGCGUGGGGGAUGACGGCCUUCGGGGUGGAAACCGCUUUCGCCUGUGACGAAGGGUGAGUGACGGUAAUGGGUAAAGAAGCACCGGCUAACUACGUG
Molecule: ribosomal RNA, 468 nt
Filed under: uncultured bacterium
Lineage: Bacteria
Description: partial 16S ribosomal RNA
Rfam family: Bacterial small subunit ribosomal RNA
Source: RNAcentral